Molecule: non-coding RNA, 1088 nt
Organism: Punica granatum (pomegranate)
Lineage: Eukaryota; Viridiplantae; Streptophyta; Magnoliopsida; Myrtales; Lythraceae
Source: RefSeq, a predicted model, not a curated record
UAAGUAAGUUCCAAUUUACUUACUCAUUCGGCACUUUUUUUACUUAUUUAUUAAAUUAAGUCACUUUUAUUUUGUAUUUAUCAAGCAAGUUUAUUCCAAUUAAGUGCUGAAAUUUCAGUACUAAUCUAUAAAAAAGAAUAUUUAUUUUUCCUAAUCCAAAUAGAAUUCCACUAGAUUUUUCAAGCGAAAAAGAAACUCUGAGUUUGUUGAAUUCUCAUCGUGCUGCUAACGUUCAAUUCAAUUAAAAGCUUCUCUGUUUCCAUUCACCCUCUGCUUAUCCUAUCUCGAUCACACCUUUGCCAUCGUCACCAGCGCCGGAUCGUUGCCUCUCCUUGGAGCCCUUUGCUGCCCCUACUACACCACGACGUGCUGUUACCGUCCCCCUCCACAGUGUCCACCGACUACCUGCUGUUACUUCCCGCUCCACCGCGUUCACUGCUGCUCAGGCCACACCGCGACCAAUUCCAGAAUUUCUCGGGAAACUUGGGAUUUUGGUCAAUUUGGGUAAGAAGAGCAGUUCGACGAGAUAAUGGCGCCAAGGAGGAAGAAAAAUGACAAGCCCAAAGAGUCCGGGCAAUCUGACAAAUUAGCGGUAAUGCAAGCUGCAAGCACAGAAAGCUCAAAUACAAGAAAGUUUCAGUGAGACUUGGCCAAAAAAAAAAAAAGUUUCAGGAGAUGCAGGGAUAGCGGUUACUGGAUUGAAUGCCCGUGUCAAUGACUACGGGAACAACAUACGCGUUUCAGGAUAUGUUAGGACAAUAGUUUCUGCAAAUGGUACUUUCAUGUGUUAUACAGGUACGCGAUAACCAGGUGGAAGUUCAAACUCAAGAAGGCGGGGGCACAAUAGUUUCGGGUGACUGUGGGGACAAUAGUUGCUGUUGCUGGAUCCACUGUUCGUUUGGUUGGUAAUGGGGUCAAUAUAUGUAUGUAAUGUGCAGUAGUAGCAUCUGUCUUGGGGUUUAAUGAAUGAAGUUGCUUUCUAGUGAUGUUUCUGCUGUACAAUCUUAUCUUCUUGACAUUAUUAUCACAAUAUUGUUCUUCAGUGGACCAUCUUUGUAAGUUCAUCCUUCUAUAUCUCUUUGUCUCGC